RNAcentral lists this ribosomal RNA (253 nucleotides) under uncultured bacterium. RNAcentral's name for it is "partial 16S ribosomal RNA". It matches the Rfam family "Bacterial small subunit ribosomal RNA", at positions 524 to 776 of the family's 1533-position model. The record is from RNAcentral.
UACGGAGGGUGCAAGCGUUAUCCGGAUUUACUGGGUUUAAAGGGUGCGUAGGUGGAUUGGUAAGUCAGUGGUGAAAUACUUUCGCUUAACGAAGGAACUGCCAUUGAUACUACCAGUCUUGAAUACAGUGGAGGUAGGCGGAAUGCGUCAUGUAGCGGUGAAAUGCUUAGAUAUGACGCAGAACACCAAUUGCGAAGGCAGCUUGCUACACUGUUAUUGACACUGAGGCACGAAAGCUCGGGGAGCGAACGGG